UAUAUUAAGCUUAUUUCAAAGAUUAAGCCAUGCAAAUGUAAGAACAAAUCGUAGGGGCAACUAUAUGAUAUUUCAUCUGUACACAGCUCCAUAUAAGAUUUAUAAGCGUCUCUAAUUGUGUAAUUUAUAAGGAUAACGUUGCUAAACGCAUCGAUAAUACUUGAGAAAUAAUUAUUAUUUCUAAUAGGAAUGUGGAAUAAUGUCCCUUGGCAACAGGGGGGAUAAUCAAUAGAUCGAUUAGACGCAUUUAUCACCCAUCAAUUAGAUAACUGUUUCGAUAACAGCUAUGAUUAUAACGGGUACAGAGAAUCGGGGUUUGAUUCUGGAGAAGGAGCCUGAGAAAUAGCUACUAGUGCCAUGACAUGCAGCAGGCGCGAAAAUUACCCAAUGAUAAUAUUUGAUCGAGGUAGUGACAAGAAAUAAGCACUGUUCCUUAACUAGGAACAGGUACUGGUUAAUUUAUCGGUUUACAAUGGUUCCGUAUUAGACUUACGGAAGAGUAACAAUUG
RNAcentral lists this ribosomal RNA (509 nucleotides) under uncultured heterolobosean. RNAcentral describes it as "bacterial SSU rRNA". It matches the Rfam family "Eukaryotic small subunit ribosomal RNA", at positions 27 to 550 of the family's 1831-position model. Lineage: Eukaryota; Heterolobosea. The record is from RNAcentral.